GCACGGCUACUCCGUGCAGCAGCGCGGUAUACGGAGGGUGCAAGCGUAUCGGAAUACUGGGCGUAAAGCGCACGCAGGCGGUCUGUCAAGUCGGAUGUGAAAUCCCCGGGCUCACCUGGGAACUGCAUUCGAAACUGGCAGGCUAGAGUCUUGUAGAGGGGGGUAGAAUUUCCAGGUGUAGCGGUGAAAUGCGUAGAGAUCUGGAGGAAUACCGGUGGCGAAGGCGGCCCCCUGGACAAAGACUGACGCUCAGGUGCGAAAGCGUGGGGAGCAAACAGGAUUAGAUACCCUGGUAGUCCACGCCGUAAACGAUGUCGAUUUGGAGGUUGUGCCCUUGAGGCGUGGCUUCCGGAGCUAACGCGUUAAAUCGACCGCCUGGGGAGUACGGCCGCAAGGUUAAAACUCAAAUGAAUUGACGGGGGCCCGCACAAGCGGUGGAGCAUGUGGUUUAAUUCGAUGCAACGCGAAGAACCUUACCUGGUCUUGACAUCCACAGAACUUUCCAGAGAUGGAUUGGUGCCUUCGGGAACUGUGAGACAGGUGCUGCAUGGCUGUCGUCAGCUCGUGUUGUGAAAUGUUGGGUUAAGUCCCGCAACGAGCGCAACCCUUAUCCUUUGUUGCCAGCGGUUAGGCCGGGAACUCAAAGGAGACUGCCAGUGAUAAACUGGAGGAAGGUGGGGAUGACGUCAAGUCAUCAUGGCCCUUACGACCAGGGCUACACACGUGCUACAAUGGCGCAUACAAAGAGAAGCGACCUCGCGAGAGCAAGCGGACCUCAUAAAGUGCGUCGUAGUCCGGAUUGGAGUCUGCAACUCGACUCCAUGAAGUCGGAAUCGCUAGUAAUCGUAGAUCAGAAUGCUACGGUGAAUACGUUCCCGGGCCUUGUACACACCGCCCGUCACACCAUGGGAGUGGGUUGCAAAAGAAGUAGGUAGCUUAAC
RNAcentral lists this ribosomal RNA (941 nucleotides) under Enterobacter sp. ZYY11. RNAcentral describes it as "bacterial SSU rRNA". It matches the Rfam family "Bacterial small subunit ribosomal RNA", at positions 488 to 1439 of the family's 1533-position model. The record is from RNAcentral. Lineage: Bacteria; Pseudomonadati; Pseudomonadota; Gammaproteobacteria; Enterobacterales; Enterobacteriaceae.